GUGGCUGUAGUUCAGUUGGUUAGAACGUUGGGUUGUGGUUCCAGAGGUCGUCGGUUCGAUCCCGAUCAGCCACCC
Molecule: transfer RNA, 75 nt
Filed under: Bacteroidia bacterium
Lineage: Bacteria; Pseudomonadati; Bacteroidota; Bacteroidia
Description: tRNA-His
Rfam family: tRNA
About the family: Transfer RNA (tRNA) molecules are approximately 80 nucleotides in length. Their secondary structure includes four short double-helical elements and three loops (D, anti-codon, and T loops).
Source: RNAcentral